UACGUAGGGGGCAAGCGUUGUCCGGAAUUAUUGGGCGUAAAGAGCGCGUAGGCGGUCCGAUAAGUCGGCUGUGAAAGUCAUGGGCUCAACCCAUGAAAGCCGGCCGAUACUGUCGGACUAGAGUCCGGAAGAGGCGAGUGGAAUUCCCGGUGUAGCGGUGAAAUGCGCAGAUAUCGGGAGGAACACCAAUGGCGAAGGCAGCUCGCUGGGACGGUACUGACGCUGAGACGCGAAAGCGUGGGGAGCAAACAGG
Molecule: ribosomal RNA, 253 nt
Filed under: uncultured bacterium
Lineage: Bacteria
Description: partial 16S ribosomal RNA
Rfam family: Bacterial small subunit ribosomal RNA
Source: RNAcentral